RNAcentral lists this long non-coding RNA (225 nucleotides) under Vitis vinifera (wine grape). RNAcentral's name for it is "long non-coding RNA (VVIN_LNC006913)". Lineage: Eukaryota; Viridiplantae; Streptophyta; Magnoliopsida; Vitales; Vitaceae. The record is from RNAcentral.
UACUUAUCUGGAGAACGAAAUAUGUUUGGAUCGAAGAGAGCCCUAAUACGACUUCAGAUCGCGGCUAAAAGAAGAAAAAAAAAUCGAGGAUAUGCGAUUGAGAGAGACCAAAUAGUAAAGAAAAACAAAUGUGGCACUACUGAAAGGGUAGAAGAACACUUCCUAAGACACGUGUAGGGCUUGGGGUGGAGAGGAAGUGACUGGAAGUCACCGGAAAGAUUGUUU